CCUACGGGAGGCAGCAGUGGGGAAUAUUGGGCAAUGGGCGCAAGCCUGACCCAGCAACGCAGCGUGCAGGAUGACGGCUUUCGGGUUGUAAACUUCUUUUCUGAGGGACGAAGAACGUGACGGUACCUCAGGAAUACGCCACGGCUAACUACGUGCCAGCAGCCGCGGUAAUACGUAGGUGGCAAGCGUUAUCAGGAUUUAUUGGGUGUAAAGGGCGUGUAGGCGGGAAAGCAAGUCAGAUGUGAAAACUCAGGGCUCAACCCUGGGCCUGCAUGGGAAACUGUUUUGCUUGAGUGCUGGAGAGGCAGUCGGAAUUCGGUGUGUAGCGGUGAAAUGCGUAGAUAUACGGAGGAACACCAGUGGCGAAGGCGGAUUGCUGGACAGUAACUGACGCUGAGGCGCGAAAGCGUGGGGAGCAAACAGGAUUAGAUACCCGGGUAGUC
RNAcentral lists this ribosomal RNA (443 nucleotides) under uncultured bacterium. RNAcentral describes it as "partial 16S ribosomal RNA". It matches the Rfam family "Bacterial small subunit ribosomal RNA", at positions 338 to 795 of the family's 1533-position model. The record is from RNAcentral.